Molecule: ribosomal RNA, 1370 nt
Filed under: Nocardiopsis sp. FXJ8.041
Lineage: Bacteria; Bacillati; Actinomycetota; Actinomycetes; Streptosporangiales; Nocardiopsidaceae
Description: bacterial SSU rRNA
Rfam family: Bacterial small subunit ribosomal RNA
Source: RNAcentral
GUAGGCCCUUCGGGGUACACGAGCGGCGAACGGGUGAGUAACACGUGAGCAACCUGCCCCUGACUCCGGGAUAAGCGGUGGAAACGCCGUCUAAUACCGGAUACGACCCGCCACCUCAUGGUGGAGGGUGGAAAGUUUUAUCGGUCAGGGAUGGGCUCGCGGCCUAUCAGCUUGUUGGUGGGGUAACGGCCUACCAAGGCGAUUACGGGUAGCCGGCCUGAGAGGGCGACCGGCCACACUGGGACUGAGACACGGCCCAGACUCCUGCGGGAGGCAGCAGUGGGGAAUAUUGCACAAUGGGCGAAAGCCUGAUGCAGCGACGCCGCGUGGGGGAUGACGGCCUUCGGGUUGUAAACCUCUUUUACCACCAACGCAGGCUCCACGUUCUCGUGGGGUUGACGGUAGGUGGGGAAUAAGGACCGGCUAACUACGUGCCAGCAGCCGCGGUAAUACGUAGGGUCCGAGCGUUGUCCGGAAUUAUUGGGCGUAAAGAGCUCGUAGGCGGCAUGUCGCGUCUGCUGUGAAAGACCGGGGCUUAACUCCGGUUCUGCAGUGGAUACGGGCAUGCUAGAGGUAGGUAGGGGAAACUGGAAUUCCUGGUGUAGCGGUGAAAUGCGCAGAUAUCAGGAGGAACACCGGUGGCGAAGGCGGGUUUCUGGGCCUUACCUGACGCUGAGGAGCGAAAGCAUGGGGAGCGAACAGGAUUAGAUACCCUGGUAGUCCAUGCCGUAAACGUUGGGCGCUAGGUGUGGGGACUUUCCACGGUUUCCGCGCCGUAGCUAACGCAUUAAGCGCCCCGCCUGGGGAGUACGGCCGCAAGGCUAAAACUCAAAGGAAUUGACGGGGGCCCGCACAAGCGGCGGAGCAUGUUGCUUAAUUCGACGCAACGCGAAGAACCUUACCAAGGUUUGACAUCACCCGUGGACCUGUAGAGAUACAGGGUCAUUUAGUUGGUGGGUGACAGGUGGUGCAUGGCUGUCGUCAGCUCGUGUCGUGAGAUGUUGGGUUAAGUCCCGCAACGAGCGCAACCCUUGUUCCAUGUUGCCAGCACGUAAUGGUGGGGACUCAUGGGAGACUGCCGGGGUCAACUCGGAGGAAGGUGGGGACGACGUCAAGUCAUCAUGCCCCUUAUGUCUUGGGCUGCAAACAUGCUACAAUGGCCGGUACAAUGGGCGUGCGAUACCGUAAGGUGGAGCGAAUCCCUUAAAGCCGGUCUCAGUUCGGAUUGGGGUCUGCAACUCGACCCCAUGAAGGUGGAGUCGCUAGUAAUCGCGGAUCAGCAACGCCGCGGUGAAUACGUUCCCGGGCCUUGUACACACCGCCCGUCACGUCAUGAAAGUCGGCAACACCCGAAACUUGUGGCCUAACCC